UAAACCUUAAACCCUAAACUCUAAAUCCUAAACUCCACUCUUUAACUCUAAACCCUAAGUUUGUGACUUUUGAUAAAACAUUAAGUGCUAUUUUUGUGACUUUUGAUUAAAUCAAGUUUUUAGACCGAGACAACAGACAUAACGCAGCUUCAUUUUCUCGUAGAACUUAGUUCUCUAUUGUGUUCAUUUUGGCCCUGAACUAUUCCUGGUUUUCAUGAGUGAACUUAAAGAAUAUAGCCUUGCAUUCAUUCUCCUAGAAACGGCCCCAUUUCACACUCAUUAGGUGAUUGACC
This 293-nucleotide long non-coding RNA is filed under the name Brassica napus (rape). Its description in RNAcentral is "long non-coding RNA (BNAP_LNC023317)". The record is from RNAcentral. Lineage: Eukaryota; Viridiplantae; Streptophyta; Magnoliopsida; Brassicales; Brassicaceae.